This 443-nucleotide unclassified non-coding RNA is filed under the name Hevea brasiliensis (rubber tree). The record is from RNAcentral. Lineage: Eukaryota; Viridiplantae; Streptophyta; Magnoliopsida; Malpighiales; Euphorbiaceae.
GAAGUCCGAGUAGGCAUGUAUGCACUUCUGUGUGCAAAAGUUUUAAGCAUUAAGACCAAUUAGUUGUAAGAGAAUGAAAUGGAAUACAUAAAUGGAAUACAUAAAUGGAAAAAUAGAACUACCAAAAGUUUACAACUCAAAAAAGGAUUAAUCUGUAAGAAAGAUAAAACCACACAUGGGAUAUGAGUCAAUGACAAGAAAACUAAGAAUGCAACAGCCUGCACACAAAAUUGAUGAAUUUAUACUUCGUGCUGAUCACAUACAAAUGCAAAUGCAAUUCACUACAAAUGCAAAUGGAAAGAAAACAAAUACAAAUGCAAUUCACUAUUCAGGUAGAACAGGAAAAGAAACAAAGGUUAGGUCUGCAUUGCAAGAAAACCAAAAAACUCAUUACGAAAAGAAGCUAUAAUUGCACUUACACUUGCUUAUGUUUUGUAUGCUAU